Molecule: ribosomal RNA, 406 nt
Filed under: Chlorella vulgaris
Lineage: Eukaryota; Viridiplantae; Chlorophyta; Trebouxiophyceae; Chlorellales; Chlorellaceae
Description: bacterial SSU rRNA
Rfam family: Bacterial small subunit ribosomal RNA
Source: RNAcentral
UUCCGCAAUGGGCGACAGCCUGACGGAGCAAUGCCGCGUGAAGGAUGAAGGCCUAUGGGUUGUAAACUUCUUUUCUCAGAGAAGAAGCAUUGACGGUAUCUGAGGAAUAAGCAUCGGCUAACUCUGUGCCAGCAGCCGCGGUAAGACAGAGGAUGCAAGCGUUAUCCGGAAUGAUUGGGCGUAAAGCGUCUGUAGGUGGCUUAAAAAGUCUCCUGUCAAAGAUCAGGGCUUAACCCUGGGCCGGCAGGAGAAACUCUUAGGCUAGAGUUGGUAGGGGCAGAGGGAAUUCCCGGUGGAGCGGUGAAAUGCGUAGAGAUCGGGAGGAACACCAAAGGCGAAAGCACUCUGCUGGGCCAUAACUGACACUGAGAGACGAAAGCGAGGGGAGCAAAAGGGAUUAGAUACC